AUGGCUGUAAGUGGUGAGGACCCUAUGGCUGAUUGGGAUCAACUUGUCACCCUCACUGCUCGAUCAACAAAUUUGGAUUCCAUUGAACUGGAUUCGUACUUGUCAAAGGUACCCAUCCACCAAAGUGAUCAAUUCAAUAUCCUUGAAUGGUGGCAGAUGAACUUAGGUGAAUACCCAAUGCUGAGUCGUAUGGCAACAGAUAUCUUGGUGGCUCGUACCUCUUCGGUGGCCUCCGAGUCUGCCUUCAGCACAGGGAAGAGAGUAUUAUCAGAUUUUUGA
This 279-nucleotide ribosomal RNA is filed under the name Triticum aestivum (bread wheat). RNAcentral describes it as "partial small subunit ribosomal RNA". Lineage: Eukaryota; Viridiplantae; Streptophyta; Magnoliopsida; Poales; Poaceae. The record is from RNAcentral.